This is a non-coding RNA of Hippocampus comes (tiger tail seahorse), 69 nucleotides long. NCBI's taxonomy places the organism in Eukaryota, Metazoa, Chordata, Actinopteri, Syngnathiformes, Syngnathidae. The record is from Ensembl.
UAAGGCUUUAGCUUAAUUAAAGUGUCUGUUUUGCAUGCAGUAGAUGUGGGUUAGUCACCUGCAAGUCUU